Molecule: ribosomal RNA, 467 nt
Filed under: uncultured bacterium
Lineage: Bacteria
Description: partial 16S ribosomal RNA
Rfam family: Bacterial small subunit ribosomal RNA
Source: RNAcentral
GAUGAACGCUGGCGGCGCGCCUAACACAUGCAAGUCGAACGAUUAAAGCACCUUCGGGUGUGUAUAAAGUGGCGAACGGCUGAGUAACACGUGGGCAACCUGCCCCUUUCAUUGGGAUAGCCACGGGAAACCGUGGAUAAUACCGAAUACUUCGAGACUUCCGCAUGGAAGACUCGAGAAAGCUCCGGCGGCGAGGGAUGGGCCCGCGGCCUGUUAGCUUGGUGGUGGGGUAACGGCCUACGAAGGCAAUGAUGGGUAGCUGGGUUGAGAGACCGACCAGCCAGAUUGGGACUGAGACACGGCCCAGACUCCUACGGGAGGCAGCAGUGGGGAAUCUUGCACAAUGGGCGAAAGCCUGAUGCAGCGACGCCGCGUGCGGGAUGAAGGCCUUCGGGUUGUAAACCGCUUUCAGCAGGGACGAGGCGAAAGUGACGGUACCUGCAGAAGAAGCCCCGGCUAACUACGUG